This 503-nucleotide long non-coding RNA is filed under the name Macaca mulatta (Rhesus monkey). RNAcentral's name for it is "lncRNA (ENSMMUG00000060795.1)". The record is from RNAcentral. Lineage: Eukaryota; Metazoa; Chordata; Mammalia; Primates; Cercopithecidae.
AUUAGUGUGUAUGCUAAUAGACCCUAAUUAUUAUUUAUUUUUCUAUUUUAUUACACAUCACAGAGUUUCAGCAAUACAUAUUCCUUUACUUAUUAGCCUUUUGAAACUCCAAGACGUCAAGCUCCUUGUCUUCAAUGAAAAAAAGAUCAUCCAAAGAUGACUAGAAGCUGCAUCCAUAACUAAGGAAGAAGAGAUGUUGUCUGGGAUUCCUGGAGCUGAGAUGGUUACCACGACUGUUACACUUUGUGUCUACCCCUUUAGAAGAGAUGAUGGAUGAGAGUGUCUCCAAUCUCUAUUUUUAUUUCUUUCACCUAUUAUUUUUCUCUUUACACACAUAGAAAAUAGUGUAAAGAAAAACAUCAAUAUUUUAAGAGUGUGUGUUCCCGAAUUAGGAGCUAUGACCUACUUUUUUUUCUUGUUUACAUGCUCCUGCACUUUUCAAAUUAUUUACAAUUCAUUUCUGUGCUUUCUAUUUUUGUUACUAUAUGUAUUAUAUUUUCUUA